Stegodyphus mimosarum is the source of this 73-nucleotide non-coding RNA. NCBI's taxonomy places the organism in Eukaryota, Metazoa, Arthropoda, Arachnida, Araneae, Eresidae. The record is from Rfam.
GCCUUCGUGGUGUAGUGGUCAGCACGCUCAGCGUGGAUUCGAGAAGUCCGUGGUUCGAAUCCUGGCGGAGACA